GGCGAACGCUGGCGGCGUGCUUAACACAUGCAAGUCGAACGGAAAGGCCCUGCUUUUGUGGGGUGCUCGAGUGGCGAACGGGUGAGUAACACGUGAGUAACCUGCCCUUGACUUUGGGAUAACUUCAGGAAACUGGGGCUAAUACCGGAUAGGAGCUCCUGCUGCAUGGUGGGGGUUGGAAAGUUUCGGCGGUUGGGGAUGGACUCGCGGCUUAUCAGCUCGUUGGUGGGGUAGUGGCUUACCAAGGCUUUGACGGGUAGCCGGCCUGAGAGGGUGACCGGCCACAUUGGGACUGAGAUACGGCCCAGACUCCUACGGGAGGCAGCAGUGGGGAAUAUUGCACAAUGGGCGGAAGCCUGAUGCAGCAACGCCGCGUGCGGGAUGACGGCCUUCGGGUUGUAAACCGCUUUCGCCUGUGACGAAGCGUGAGUGACGGUAAUGGGUAAAGAAGCACCGGCUAACUACGUG
This 468-nucleotide ribosomal RNA is filed under the name uncultured bacterium. RNAcentral's name for it is "partial 16S ribosomal RNA". It matches the Rfam family "Bacterial small subunit ribosomal RNA", at positions 28 to 507 of the family's 1533-position model. The record is from RNAcentral.